This 482-nucleotide ribosomal RNA is filed under the name uncultured bacterium. RNAcentral describes it as "partial 16S ribosomal RNA". It matches the Rfam family "Bacterial small subunit ribosomal RNA", at positions 30 to 507 of the family's 1533-position model. The record is from RNAcentral.
AUUGAACGCUGGCGGCAUGCUUUACACAUGCAAGUCGAACGGUAACAGCACUUCGGUGGCUGACGAGUGGCGAACGGGUGAGUAAUACAUCGGAACGUGCCUAGUAGUGGGGGAUAACUACUCGAAAGAGUAGCUAAUACCGCAUGAGAUCUAAGGAUGAAAGCAGGGGACCUUCGGGCCUUGCGCUACUAGAGCGGCUGAUGGCAGAUUAGGUAGUUGGUGGGAUAAAAGCUUACCAAGCCGACGAUCUGUAGCUGGUCUGAGAGGACGACCAGCCACACUGGGACUGAGACACGGCCCAGACUCCUACGGGAGGCAGCAGUGGGGAAUUUUGGACAAUGGGCGCAAGCCUGAUCCAGCAAUGCCGCGUGCAGGAUGAAGGCCUUCGGGUCGUAAACUGCUUUUGUACGGAACGAAAAGCCCUCUUCUAAUACAGGAGGGUCAUGACGGUACCGGAAGAAUAAGCACCGGCUAACUACGUG